AAAAGGUUUGGUCCCAGCCUUUCUAUUGGCUGCUAGCAAAACUACACAUGCAAGUAUCCGCAUUCCAGUGAGAAUGCCCUAUAAAUCACCCCAGUGAUGAAAAGGAGCAGGUAUCAAGCACACAACCAAGUAGCUCAUAACACCUUGCUCAACCACACCCCCACGGGAAACAGCAGUGAUAAAAAUUAAGCAAUAAACGAAAGUUUGACUAAGUUAUGUUUACUCAGGGUUGGUAAAUUUCGUGCCAGCCACCGCGGUCAUACGAUUAACCCUAGCCAAUAGACCCACGGCGUAAAGCGUGUUUAAGAUAACUAAAUAAUAAAGUUGAACUUUAGCUAUGCCGUAAAAAGCCACAGCUACCGUAAAUUCCACUACGAAAGUGACUUUAAAUAAUCUGAAUACACGAUAGCUAAGACCCAAACUGGGAUUAGAUACCCCACUAUGCUUAGCCCUAAACCUAAAGAAUCCAUAUAACAAGAUUCUUCGCCAGAGUACUACUAGCCAAAGCUUAAAACUCAAAGGACUUGGCGGUGCUUCACAUCCCUCUAGAGGAGCCUGUUCUAUAAUCGAUAAACCCCGAUAAACCUCACCAACCCUUGCCAACUCAGCCUAUAUACCGCCAUCUUCAGCAAACCCUAAAAAGGACUUACAGUAAGCCCAAUUACAGUACGUAAAAACGUUAGGUCAAGGUGUAGCCCAUGGGUUGGGAAGAAAUGGGCUACAUUUCCUACUAACAGGACAAAAUUCACUCCAUAGACGAAAAUCCUCGUGAAAUCGAGGAUCAAAGGUGGAUUUAGCAGUAAACUAAGAAUAGAGCGCUUAGUUGAAUAAGGCCAUGAAGCACGCACACACCGCCCGUCACCCUCCUCAAAUAUCAAUAGUAUACUUAACCCUAUUCCCACACACUAUAACUACUAGAGGAGACAAGUCGUAACAAGGUAAGCGUACUGGAAAGUGCGCUUGGAUAACC
Molecule: non-coding RNA, 970 nt
Filed under: Anoura geoffroyi (Geoffroy's tailless bat)
Lineage: Eukaryota; Metazoa; Chordata; Mammalia; Chiroptera; Phyllostomidae
Description: 12S ribosomal RNA
Rfam family: Bacterial small subunit ribosomal RNA
Source: RNAcentral